This 465-nucleotide ribosomal RNA is filed under the name Vreelandella stevensii. RNAcentral's name for it is "partial 16S ribosomal RNA". It matches the Rfam family "Bacterial small subunit ribosomal RNA", at positions 338 to 795 of the family's 1533-position model. Lineage: Bacteria; Pseudomonadati; Pseudomonadota; Gammaproteobacteria; Oceanospirillales; Halomonadaceae. The record is from RNAcentral.
CCUACGGGUGGCAGCAGUGGGGAAUAUUGGACAAUGGGGGGAACCCUGAUCCAGCCAUGCCGCGUGUGUGAAGAAGGCCCUCGGGUUGUAAAGCACUUUCAGUGAGGAAGAAUGCCUGGUGGUUAAUACCCAUCAGGAAAGACAUCACUCACAGAAGAAGCACCGGCUAACUCCGUGCCAGCAGCCGCGGUAAUACGGAGGGUGCGAGCGUUAAUCGGAAUUACUGGGCGUAAAGCGCGCGUAGGUGGCUUGAUAAGCCGGUUGUGAAAGCCCCGGGCUCAACCUGGGAACGGCAUCCGGAACUGUCAAGCUAGAGUGCAGGAGAGGAAGGUAGAAUUCCCGGUGUAGCGGUGAAAUGCGUAGAGAUCGGGAGGAAUACCAGUGGCGAAGGCGGCCUUCUGGACUGACACUGACACUGAGGUGCGAAAGCGUGGGUAGCAAACAGGAUUAGAUACCCUUGUAGUC